This 256-nucleotide ribosomal RNA is filed under the name uncultured bacterium. RNAcentral describes it as "partial 16S ribosomal RNA". It matches the Rfam family "Bacterial small subunit ribosomal RNA", at positions 524 to 776 of the family's 1533-position model. The record is from RNAcentral.
UACGUAGGGUGCAAGCGUUAAUCGGAAUUACUGGGCGUAAAGCGUGCGCAGGCGGUUUUGUAAGUCAGAUGUGAAAAUCCCCGGGCUUAACCUGGGAACUGCGUUUUGAAACUACAAGGCUAGAGUGUGGCAGAGGGGGGUGGAAUUCCACGUGUAGCAGUGAAAAUGCGUAGAGAUGUGGAGGAACACCGAUGGCGAAGGCAGCCCCCUGGGUUAACACUGACGCUCAGGCACGAAAGCUGGGGGAGCAAACAGG